AACAGGAUUAGAUACCCUGGUAGUCCACGCCGUAAACGAUGUCGACUUGGAGGUUGUGCCCUUGAGGCGUGGCUUCCGGAGCUAACGCGUUAAGUCGACCGCCUGGGGAGUACGGCCGCAAGGUUAAAACUCAAAUGAAUUGACGGGGGCCCGCACAAGCGGUGGAGCAUGUGGUUUAAUUCGAUGCAACGCGAAGAACCUUACCUACUCUUGACAUCCAGAGAACUUUCCAGAGAUGGAUUGGUGCCUUCGGGAACUCUGAGACAGGUGCUGCAUGGCUGUCGUCAGCUCGUGUUGUGAAAUGUUGGGUUAAGUCCCGCAACGAGCGCAACCCUGAUCCUUUGUUGCCAGCGGUUAGGCCGGGAACUCAAAGGAGACUGCCAGUGAUAAACUGGAGGAAGGUGGGGAUGACGUCAAGUCAUCAUGGCCCUUACGAGUAGGGCUACACACGUGCUACAAUGGCGCACACAAAGAGAAGCGACCUCGCGAGAGCAAGCGGACCUCAUAAAGUGCGUCGUAGUCCGGAUUGGAGUCUGCAACUCGACUCCAUGAAGUCGGAAUCGCUAGUAAUCGUGGAUCAGAGUGCCACGGUGAAUACGUUCCCGGGCCUUGUACACACCGCCCGUCACACCAUGGGAGUGGGUUGCAAAAGAAGUAGGUAGCUUAACCUUCGGGAGGGCGCUUACCACUUUGUGAUUCAUGACUGGGGUGAAGUCGUAACAAGGUAACC
Molecule: ribosomal RNA, 730 nt
Filed under: uncultured bacterium
Lineage: Bacteria
Description: bacterial SSU rRNA
Rfam family: Bacterial small subunit ribosomal RNA
Source: RNAcentral